UACGGGGGGGGCAAGCGUUGUUCGGAAUUACUGGGCGUAAAGGGCUCGUAGGUGGCCAACUAAGUCAGACGUGAAAUCCCCGGGCUCAACCCGGGAACUGCGUCCGAUACUGGAAGGCUUGAAUCCGGGAGAGGGAUGCGGAAUUCCAGGUGUAGCGGUGAAAUGCGUAGAUAUCUGGAGGAACACCGGUGGCGAAGGCGGCAUCCUGGACCGGCAUUGACGCUGAGGCGCGAAAGCCAGGGGAGCAAACGGG
This 253-nucleotide ribosomal RNA is filed under the name uncultured bacterium. RNAcentral describes it as "partial 16S ribosomal RNA". It matches the Rfam family "Bacterial small subunit ribosomal RNA", at positions 524 to 776 of the family's 1533-position model. The record is from RNAcentral.